AUAUCAAUAAGGCGAGGAAUAGAAACCAACCGGGAUUCCCUCAGUAGUGGCGAAUGAAGCGGGAAAAGCUCAAGUUUGGAAUCUGGGGGGCGACCUCCAGAGUUGUAAGCUGAAGAGGCGUUGGCCGAUGUCCCCUGUGCUCAAUUCCCUUGGAACAGGGAGUCAGUGAGGGUGAGAACCCCGUCUGUGGCUCAGGUGACGACAUCCUUGCGCCAUGUCCUCGAAGAGUCGGGUUGUUUGGGAAUGCAGCUCAAAAUGGGUGGUAAAUUUCAUCUAAGGCUAAAUAUUGGCGAGAGACCGAUAGCGCACAAGUA
RNAcentral lists this ribosomal RNA (314 nucleotides) under uncultured eukaryote. Its description in RNAcentral is "partial large subunit ribosomal RNA". It matches the Rfam family "Eukaryotic large subunit ribosomal RNA", at positions 40 to 350 of the family's 3401-position model. The record is from RNAcentral.